This 413-nucleotide ribosomal RNA is filed under the name Acanthamoeba sp. RAC055. RNAcentral describes it as "SSU rRNA". It matches the Rfam family "Eukaryotic small subunit ribosomal RNA", at positions 762 to 1114 of the family's 1831-position model. The record is from RNAcentral. Lineage: Eukaryota; Discosea; Longamoebia; Acanthamoebidae.
AAAAUUAGAGUGUCAAAGCAGGCAGACAUUUAAUCUCGGCCNCNGAAUNCAUUAGCAUGGGAUAAUGGAAUUGGGACCCUGUCCUCCUAUUUUCAGUUGGUUUUCGAGGACCAGGGUAAUGAUUAAUAGGGGAUAGUUGGGGGCAUUAAUAUUUAAUUGUCAGAGGUGAAAUUCUUGGAUUUAUGAAAGAUUAACUUCUGCGAAAGCAUCUGCCAAGGAUGUUUUCAUUAAUCAAGAACGAAAGUUAGGGGAUCGAAGACGAUCAGAUACCGUCGUAGUCUUAACCAUAAACGAUGCCGACCAGCGAUUAGGAGACGUUGAAUACAAAACACCACCUCAGGCGGGUCGUUCCUGGCUAGCUUCCCGCAAGCGGGGUUGGUGGGGGCGAUUCGUUUCCCUGAUGGCCCGGUGAA